UACGAAGGGGGCUAGCGUUGCUCGGAAUUACUGGGCGUAAAGCGCACGUAGGCGGCUUCUUAAGUCGGAGGUGAAAUCCUGGAGCUCAACUCCAGAACUGCCUUCGAUACUGGGAAGCUCGAGUCCGGGAGAGGUGAGUGGAACUGCGAGUGUAGAGGUGAAAUUCGUAGAUAUUCGCAAGAACACCAGUGGCGAAGGCGGCUCACUGGCCCGGUACUGACGCUGAGGUGCGAAAGCGUGGGGAUCAAGCAGG
This 253-nucleotide ribosomal RNA is filed under the name uncultured bacterium. RNAcentral's name for it is "partial 16S ribosomal RNA". It matches the Rfam family "Bacterial small subunit ribosomal RNA", at positions 524 to 776 of the family's 1533-position model. The record is from RNAcentral.